This 421-nucleotide ribosomal RNA is filed under the name uncultured eukaryote. RNAcentral describes it as "bacterial SSU rRNA". It matches the Rfam family "Eukaryotic small subunit ribosomal RNA", at positions 592 to 1016 of the family's 1831-position model. The record is from RNAcentral.
CAAUAGCGUAUAUUAAAGUUGUUGCGGUUAAAAGCUCGUAGUUGGAUUUCUGCUUAGGAGAGUCGGUCCGCACUACGUGCGUGUAUCUGAUUUCGCCUGGGCAUCCUCUCGGAAGACAGUCCUGUGCUUGAUUGCAUGGGCUGGAGUCCGGGACUUUUACUUUGAGGAAAUUAGAGUGUUCACGGCAGGCAAUCGCCCUGAAUAUAUUAGCAUGGAAUAAUAAUAUAGGAUCUGAUGCCUAUUUUGUUGGUUUCUAGGUGUUAGAUAAUGAUUAAUAGGGACAAUUGGGGCAUCCAUACUAUGGCGUCAGAGGUGGAAUUCUUGGAUUGCCAUAUGAUGAACUACUGCGAAAGCAUUUGCCAAGGAUGUUUUCAUUGAUCAAGAACUGAAACGUAAGGGGAUCGAAUGAUGAUUAGAUACC